Symphalangus syndactylus (siamang) is the source of this 3092-nucleotide long non-coding RNA. RefSeq lists it as uncharacterized. The record is from RefSeq and is a predicted model, not a curated record. Lineage: Eukaryota; Metazoa; Chordata; Mammalia; Primates; Hylobatidae.
UUCAAUUAUAGUUUAAAACAAAAUAUGCUUUUGAUUAUAAUUUUUAUUGCUUGGAAUGCAAUGAAAAAAUGCUGAAAAAUAAUGCUAUAUAAAGCAAUCUUGGGCAGAAUUGCCCUUUUAUUAAUUAUUAUUUCUCCGCUUAAUAAAAACUAAUUAAUGAUAAGUACAUUUGAAGAGAUAUUUUUGUGAAAGUGAUCAGACAUAGAAUAAUCUUUUCGGUGUAUGGUUUACUAUAAAUAUCUGAGAAAACAGGAACUUUUCAUAAUAUCUGCUUUCCACACAGUAAAGAAAUAUCUUGAAUUUCAAAGGAUUACAUACUAUAAAGAUUUUUAAAAUUUAAUCUUAUGUAAGCAAUUUUAACAAUAGCAUUACUAGAAGAGGAAGGCCAGUCUCUACUAAUUUAUAUAAGAAUUCUUACUCUGUUCUUUUUCAUUAGUGAAUUCACAAUUAACUGAUUUAGUUAGAUGAAGCCCAAAAGCAAAGGCUCAUAAAUCCUUUAUUCAGCGGACAGAUACUUGUUAAGUGCCUAAUAUGUAUCAGAGACAGAGUCAUAAAAAAAAAUCUGAAGUAUUUAACCUUGGAAAACUUAUCCUUUAAUGGUGAAAAUAUAGAGUAGAGAUAAAUGAAAUGCAGUGUGUCUGGUUGCAAGUGCUAAGAAGGAUAUCAGAGCAGGGUAAAGGGUAUUGGUGUGACGGUUCUAGGAAGAGGAGUAUUCCACCUUAAAUGGUUUAAUCAGGGAAAAUCUCUCUGAAAAGGUGACUGUUGGGUAGAGCAGAAUGAAAUGAGGGAAUUAGCCAUGUGGAUAGACAUUCUCUACUAAGGAAACAGUAAGGAACAAUGACAUUCUAUUUUCUGACUAAGAAAAUAGGAUAUGCAAAGGGCUAAGGAAUGGGGAGGCCUCACAGCAUGUCCAUGAGACCCAGCUACCUCAACAGAUGGACCAAGGGAGAGGAAGGUGGUGAGGGCAGAGACCUAGAAGGCCAUGGUGAGAACUUUGAGACUGAUUCUCGGGAAUAUAAGCCAUCACCAUGUUUUGAGCGGAAGAGUGACAUUUUGUCUUUGGUUUUGAAAAGAUCACUUUGGCUUUUCUGAAUAAUUAGAUACAUAAUGUGGAUUUACGUUGGUCGUUAAUAACAAAGAAAAGUAAAUUCCAAUUUCUCAUGUUGUGAAUCAUUAUAAGAAAAUGAGACAAAUCCAGCUCAAAGAUUCAAUUUAAUAGGUAGUUUUCAAGAUAUUUGCAAUACAUUUUAUGGAUCUAAUUGUACUCAAUCUUGAGGUCUUGUCAUUAUCAUAAGCCCUAAUGUCAAAUAUGAAAAUCAGCAUUUCUCAAUAGGGAAUUCUGAAAAGUUCUUGGGUGAUCUUCCAUUAGCAUCACUUUUACUUCCAUUUAUAGUCUUGCAUGUCUUUCAAGGUCUAAAUUGCUAUUCAUCUAGCUCUCACCCAGCUAUGAGUAAUUUCUAAUAGAUGGAUCCCCAGUUAGCUUCUGCAUAGCAAAAAGCAAGUGAUGUGCUAAUUGAGUCUCAAUUAGCUUACAUCAUAUCUCUUACAGAAUUUCAAAACAUGAUUGUUACCAUAUUAAAGGCUCAGAGGAGAGAGGACAAGUAUUUUUCUUGAUGGUUUACUAUGAACAGGGAUCAUCUACCUGUAUAGGAAUUGCGUUUUUUAUCAAAUCAAAAUAAAAUGAAGCCCAUAAAGAAUAAGCUACCCUCUUCCAUGGGCUGUCAGAAAAUACCAUGGGGCACAAGACACAUUUACUUUGGAGUACAGAUACAGGUGUUAUUACCAUCCACAAGAAGCCACACCACAGGCUUUCUCUCUCUUCUCACUUCAGACUCUGAUUUGCUUCAACUCUAAAAAAAUGAGAAUAAAGUGUGUCUUCUUAUUGGAAAAUCACUCAGCUGGCCUUACUUUAAUCUUUCUUAGACUUGAGUUCACAAAUGAAACAGAGCGACAUUCAGGUAGACAACAGAACACCAGAUAAGUUGGGAGCAAAGAUAAAUCCAAGCAAAUUUACAGUAAAACAGGUAGAGAGUCUUUAGAAUCAGAUGAGAUGCAAACUAAUGGCAAUUUACACAGUAGGUUGCCCUCCCUAGUAGAAUUUCAAACAUGCUAUUUCUUUAAAAAAGAUAUUGUAAAAGAAGAAAAGUAUUAUUAAGAUCAGCAGCCUACAUGAAGUUUUGAAAUUCUUAAGGAAAAGAGAUACUGUGCAGGUCUCAGAAUAGUCACUGUUGUUCCUUUGUUUCUUCCAAAGUUUUCAGCGAAAUGAACAAAAGAUUUUAUGUGAAAAAUCAGAUAUCUCCUAUGAAUAAAACUCACUAUAACAAAAAUAAUAAAACAAAUAAUACUAGGCCAGGUGUAUUUUUUUAAUCUCAUGAAUUAUAGCCAAGUUAAGUCAAAAAAUGUGAGAUGAAGAAAGGAUUCUACAUAACCUGUACUGUUCAGUUUAACUAGUAUAUAUUGAGUACCUAUUAUUUGACAGGCAUUAUUCUAGGUUUUAGGAAUACAGCUUUGAACAAGAAGUGCUUGCUUUCGUGAAGCUCACAUCUAAUGACAUACAUCAUAAAGAAUUCAAAAAAUCAACAAAAAAGAAUAAAGAAUAUUUCAGAUUGCAACAAAUGCUGAAAAAAGAGCAGAAAUAGAGAAAAACUGUGAGAGUUACCUGUUGAACUGGGUCGUAUUUUGGAUUCAGGAGUCAGGGAAGGUAUUCCUGGAGUGUCAGUUAAAUUGAAAUAGAAACAGACAAGAGACAGUCACUGAGAGGUGUUCUUGGACACGGAAGAUGCAAAGCCCCUAGGACAGACAAGUCUUCAGGCAUGAAGAAAGCUGGCACAGCUGGAACAUACAAUGUGAGGGAGGCAGUGGCUUUUUACAAGCAUACGCACCAAGCAUAAGAGAAGGAUCAUGUGCAGAACGUUAUCACAGUUACCUAGAUGCCUUCAGAGCCCUGGAAACCAGGAGCAGAAUCCACUCAAAACACGACGCAAAAUUAGAACUACCUGUUCUCGUCUUCAUCUUUAAUAAUACUUAAAAACUUUAUGAAGAUUCUGUUAUGAUAUCCUUUAGAUAAGAGAAUAAACGUGGUGGUUUAAAGC